This 253-nucleotide ribosomal RNA is filed under the name uncultured bacterium. RNAcentral's name for it is "partial 16S ribosomal RNA". It matches the Rfam family "Bacterial small subunit ribosomal RNA", at positions 524 to 776 of the family's 1533-position model. The record is from RNAcentral.
UACAGAGGUCCCAAGCGUUGUUCGGAUUCAUUGGGCGUAAAGGGUGCGUAGGCGGCGCGGUAAGUCGGGUGUGAAAUCUCGGAGCUUAACUCCGAAACUGCAUUCGAUACUGCCGUGCUUGAGGACUGGAGAGGAGACUGGAAUUUACGGUGUAGCGGUGAAAUGCGCAGAUAUCAGGAGGAACACCGGUGGCGAAGGCGGUUCUCUGGGCAUUACCUGACGCUGAGGAGCGAAAGCGUGGGGAGCGAACGGG